GCAAGUCGAACGGUAAGGUCUCUUCGGAGAUACACGAGUGGCGGACGGGUGCGUAACGCGUAUGCAACCUACCCUUUAACGGGGGAUAGCCUGAAGAAAUUCAGAUUAAUACCCCAUAGUAUCAUUGAACCGCAUGGUUCUGGUGAUUAAAACUCCGGUGUUAAAGGAUGGGCAUGCGUGACAUUAGCUAGAUGGUGAGGUAACGGCUCACCAUGGCAACGAUGUCUAGCUGGUCUGAGAGGAUGAUC
Molecule: ribosomal RNA, 248 nt
Filed under: uncultured bacterium
Lineage: Bacteria
Description: partial 16S ribosomal RNA
Rfam family: Bacterial small subunit ribosomal RNA
Source: RNAcentral